Molecule: long non-coding RNA, 4539 nt
Filed under: Sus scrofa (pig)
Lineage: Eukaryota; Metazoa; Chordata; Mammalia; Artiodactyla; Suidae
Description: lncRNA (ENSSSCG00015016817.1)
Source: RNAcentral
UUUUUUUUUUUGGCUGUGGCAGGCAGCAGCUUGAUGUGGGAGCUCAGCUCCCAGACCAGGGAUUGACCUUGGGUUGCAGCAGUGAAAGAGUCAAGUCCUAACCACUAGACCACAAGGGAACUCCCAAAAAAUUGAUUUUAGAGAGGCCAUGUAGGAAACGAUUUCCAAGGUUCCGGCAAGAGAUAUUGGCAUCUUGAGUUAAUGUGACAGUGCAAAUGAAGAAGUAAAUGUGUAUGCAACAUGUUUUUGGAGAAGAAAGCCAAGAAGGAGUAGCAAUGGCCAUGGAAAUGCUGAUCAAGGAGGUAAAGUCUUCAGUGACCGAGUGAUCAAGUCAGGAAAAAACCGCUUCGGAAAGGUUUAGUGGGUGGUGUAGCGGAACGUAAAAAGAGCUUAGGGUUUUGAGUGAGAAGGAAAAGAAAUCCUUUUAAUGUGACCAUGAGAAGCAAGGCAGAUGCUUGCUAGCUCUCAUGGAGUUAGAGGGGGGAAAAAAAGAGAAAAAAGCCUCCCCCGGAGAGGGUUCCAGGAGAAGUUGUGUUAGAAGGGGACAGACCAGCUUUCGGUUAAGGCGUGGAAAUGAGAAGGACGCUCCUGUACAAACAGAGUCUGCUGACCAGAGAUUGGGAGUCCCAGAGGACAGGGUGAGAGCAUUUAGAGGAAGAGGAGAGGAGGCGAGGGGUUUGAGAUCCACAGCGUGACAUGAGAGUGAGUGGCCUCAGAAUAAUAAUGGUUGCCGCUAAAGCCUGGGACUUCUGCAGGGAGUGCAAAUAACCUGGAACCCGAGGCACGACAAGAUAUAUCUUGAGAGGCUCAUGAGAAGGAGGACAAUAGAUACAAGCUAUGACCCUGAACAAGCGGCUUGAUGGCAUGAAGGUCUCUAGGUGACUUUUCCCUCCUGCAACGCAUGCAAUGGGUUGGUCUGGGUGAUGGGGUCACUGGGUGCCACCCCUCCAUCCUACAAGGACAAUGACUCAUGUGGCUAGGGUCCAGAGGAAUACUCUCUCAGAGAGCUGGACAUAGAGUUUCUGUAGCUGCCAUGUUCGUAUUAGAUCCCAUGUCUCUAGACAUAAUUCCUUGGAACACGGGUGGGCACCUGCCCCAACCUGGACCAGUUAGAGUCUUUUCCUAGAAUCUUCCGCUUAGGACAGGGAGCCCUUCACUGGGGAUGGAAGUCAUUAGAUAUAAAACAUGGUCUCUGCAGACAGCUAGUUUUCCAGUCAUGCAGACAGAGCCAGUCUAAACAAGAAUAAUCAACUGUUUCUUGAAUAUCAUGGGCCAAUUAAUUUUACCUUUUGGUCUAAGAUAAAGUCAGGUUUCUGUGCCUCAAAACCCAGAAUACUAACUUGAAACCAAAGACUAAUAGCUAUGCACAAAUUCUGUCACCACCUUCUAUUGACCAUAGCAAGACGUAGUGUAACAGCUCCUUAAAAUUAGCUAGUAAAUUUUCUCCACAUCAGCAUGAGGGAGCCAUAAAAGUGGGAAAUACUAAUGCUACAUGCAUUAGGGUUCUCCAAAGAAACAGACCUGAUAGAGGGUGUGUGUGUGUGUGUGUGUGUGUGUGUGUGUGUGUGUGUGUAUUUAGAGAGAGUUUAAGGGACUGGCUCACACAUGGUACAGACUGGUAAGUUCACAUGUCUGCAGUCAGCAAACUGACACCCAGUACAGACAACAGUGUGGUUCCACUCCAGUGCCCUGCAGCCUGGGCACCCAGGAAGAGUUAGUGUUUCAUUAUGAAUGCAAAGGCAGGGAAAAACUGAUGACUCCACUCAAAGACCAUCAGGCAAAAGGAAUUCACUCUUAUUCAGCCCAUGUGUUCUACUCAGGCCUUCAACUGAUUGGACGAGGCCCAUCCAUGUUAGGGAGAGGCAUCUGCUUUCUCUACCAAUUCAAAUGUUAAUCUCUGGAGACAUCUUCACAGACACGCCCAAAAUAACAUCCAGCCAAAUAACUGCUCACCCCACGGCUCAGUCCAGUUGACAUACAACAUGAGCUAUCCCACUACACAAUCUUUCACAGCUGCCUUCCAAUGUAUGUCUGCCUUUCAUUGUAUUGAGGGCUGCAGGAUGUAUUACUACUGUUAUUGAGUAGGCCCAGAUGCCAGGAUCGUGUGCUUGUGGUGGUGACCUUGGACUAGCUCUCGGGUUAGGUGAAAUCCUGAUGAAGGAACAGCAGAGGUAGGGAAAUCAUGCAAAGGACAAGAAAGGAAACCCCUGAGCUGACUUUCCUCCCUUCGCUGAGUGAGCAGACUAUUUUAAGCAAGAGGAGUUGAAAACAUCUGGAAAACUCUAUAAAGUAGUUUGUGAAAGUCCAUAAAGCAGAAUGAGCUUUAGGAAGGUUAACUGAAAGAGACUGUCCUCCAGGAAAGCCAAGUUGGUGGGGUGAAAGUUUCAUAAUCUGGGCAGAAUACAAAAACAUCACCAGUGUGACGCUUGCAACGGUAUCAAGGAGAGCAGGAAUCUGAUUCCAAGGCAAAAAUCAGAGCUUAGAAAGAAGUCCCUCAGUUUACUCAUCUGAAGAAUGGACAUAAAAAUACUGUGUCGUGCAGGGGAUUGCUAGUUUAUUCUCUGGGGGCUGUCACACUAUGUCACGCUAGGGUCAAUGGAGGAAGACUGCAGAAUUUGGGUACUUGCUCUGAUUCUUGCAAGGGACCAUUAGAAACCACCUGCCACAUUGUAAGGGUUCCUUACCUUCAACACUGCCUGCCGCCCUUGCACCCAGGGGCUGGGGCAACACAGAAGACGUGAAGGGCAAGAGCUAUGAGAUCAAAGACCGGGGCGGAAGCCUCAGGGGCCAAGCCUUUAAGGGAGACUUUUCUGAAAUGGCUGGCAUAGUAGCAGCCGUGAGAUUCCCCAGCACAGGCAUGCCUUUGCAUAUUGGGCUUAGGGGGCUUCCUUGGGCCCAAUGUGUUACUAUCUUUCUUCUAACGCUCAUCAUUCUUUCACAGCAAUGGUCUCUUCUGUUCGUGGAGCAUCUCUGGGCAGAUGACAGAGGGGGAACCCUGGUUUUCAUGGUCCUGAGUCUUCGAGAAGUUCAGGGACUCCUUUGCCUCAGAUAAAUCACCGAAGGCCAAGUCAAGGCUCAAGCCCGGAUCUCAGCCCUCACAUGCCAUGCUACACUGUCUCCAUGAAGUCACAGCACACUGCUUUGCCCUGACUGGGCUUUUUGGACACAGUAAAUAUGAAAUAAAGUUGCAGCGCCUCAAUUGGCUCAUGCGUUUUUGAGCACUUACUAGAAACAGGGAUGCAAAUGAAGGGCUGAUGCACCAACUCUCACUCCAAAACAGCCCUUGAAUUCGUCCUCCUCUGCAGCCUCUGCCCCUGCCUCUACUCAGCCUCCACUUUUCAUGUUGCCAAAGCCACCUGUUCUCCCUGUCUGCAGCUGCUCCAUCCUUCCUACUGUUACCAUCCUUUGUGCCUCUGUCUUCAAUGAAAACCCCAAUGGCACCCAAAUCAUGUUGGCAGAGUUCUUCCAUCGCGGUUACACAGUAGAAUUCCCAGGGCAUUAAAUGUCAGGCCCUGUCCCAGAUAUUCUGACCUUAACUGGCCUGGGGUGGGACCAUUGUUCUAUUUGUUUUAAUCUCCAGGCUACAGUCAAGGGCUGCCAAGGCUGAAAAUCUUUUGGAUUACCAAGUAAAGCCAGAUCUCCUGAGCAUGACAUCUGAAGCCCUUCACACUGAGCAGUAAUCAAUAUUUCUUGCCUCUCCCCGUGUACAUUUGUUAUUACAAUGUUAUGAAAAUAUCUGUCAUCUCUGUUCAACUGUGAGUUUCUCAAGGACAAAACCCCUGUCAUUCAUCUCUGUAUCCCUCAUAGUCAUCAUAACACCUACAAAGAGUAAGUGCUUAAUGAAUGUUGGUUGGGUGGGUGGAUGGUAAGUGGUUGGCGGGAGUGGGGACCAGUGACUAGUAGUAAAAUUCUGAACUAACCUGCUCAGGGACCUGCACUCCCAGAGCUGAAUGACCAGGACAAAGAAGGAAGUCUCUUACAUCAAUGUGUCUCUAUUUGCUCCAGAAAAUUCUUGCCAAGGAAAAUAAAGGCGUAAAGGGUAUAAACCCUUGGUCCACUAAUCCCAAAUAUUGAACUUGAACUUUGCCUGAUCCCAAUCAGAUCCCCGUGUUGAAAUUCCAUCUACCUUCAGCCGGAUUUUCAAAUCCUAACCUCUCUCCUCUUAGACCCUAGACAUUAUCAAUUGGGUAUUCUUCCUAUUUUAGUUAAGCAAUACACUCAACUUUGUUUGAUCAAUAGGUUAUUUUAGUGGCCUUUCAGGGCAUCAAAAAUCAACACCUCCAUUCUUUUCUUAUCUCACAGUGUGGUUUUGGGUAAGUCAGAUAUGUUGUCAAAUAUCUCUGGAUAUAAAAUGAAUCCGAGAAUUCUUAUCACUUGCCUUCCUUGCAAAGUCGUUAGAGAAUGAAAUAUGCUACAAUUUUCUGCAACGCUUUCCAUCCAAGGAUCUCAAAGCACUUUAUUUCUGCCAGAUGCAAAUACAUUACAUGAUUAAUAGUCUGCUUCUGAAAGUCACAGGAAAAAGGAUUUCAUGGCUCCAAG